GAUGAACGCUGGCGGCAUGCCUAAUACAUGCAAGUCGAGCGAACAGACGAGGAGCUUGCUCCUUUGACGUUAGCGCCGGACGGGUGAGUAACACGUGGGUAACCUACCUAUAAGACUGGGACAACUUCGGGAAACCGGAGCUAAUACCGGAUAAUAUUUCGACCCGCAUGGUUCGAUAGUUAAAUAUGCCUUUUCUAUCACUUAUAGAUGGACCUGCGCCGUAUUAGCUAGUUGGUAAGGUAACGGCUUACCAAGGCAAGGAGACGUAGCCGACCUGAGGGCGAGGUGGCAUAGAUGGGAAGAGAGGCAGGGUAGAGACACUGACAGGAGGCCGCAGUCGGGAAUCUUACGGGAUGGGGGAAAGGCGGACAGAGGAACGUCGGGGAAGGGAUGAAGGAGCAAGGACGGGAAAACGCUGAAAGCAUUGAAGAAGUAACGCGCUAUUACCCGUGAAGGUAUUGACGGUACCUAAUGAGAAAGCUACGGCUAACUCCGCG
Molecule: ribosomal RNA, 497 nt
Filed under: uncultured bacterium
Lineage: Bacteria
Description: partial 16S ribosomal RNA
Rfam family: Bacterial small subunit ribosomal RNA
Source: RNAcentral